AUUGAACGCUGGCGGCAGGCCUAACACAUGCAAGUCGAACGGCAGCACAGAAGAGCUUGCUCUUUGGGUGGCGAGUGGCGGACGGGUGAGUAAUGUCUGGGAAACUGCCCGAUGAAGGGGGAUAACUACUGGAAACGGUAGCUAAUACCGCAUAACGUCGCGAGACCAAAGUGGGGGACCUUCGGGCCUCACACCAUCGGAUGUGCCCAGAUGGGAUUAGCUAGUAGGUGGGGUAAUGGCUCACCUAGGCGACGAUCCCUAGCUGGUCUGAGAGGAUGACCAGCCCCACUGGAACUGGGACACGGUCCAGACUCCUACGGGAGGAAGCAGUGGGGAAUAUUGCACAAUGGGCGCAAGCCUGAUGCAGCCAUGCCGCGUGUAUGAAGAAGGCCUUCGGGUUGUAAAGUACUUUCAGCGGGGAGGAAGGCGGUGAGGUUAAUAACCUCGCCGAUUGACGUUACCCGCAGAAGAAGCACCGGCUAACUCCGUGCCAGCAGCCGCCGUAA
RNAcentral lists this ribosomal RNA (506 nucleotides) under uncultured bacterium. RNAcentral's name for it is "partial 16S ribosomal RNA". It matches the Rfam family "Bacterial small subunit ribosomal RNA", at positions 30 to 523 of the family's 1533-position model. The record is from RNAcentral.